GACGAACGCUGGCGGCGUGCUUAACACAUGCAAGUCACGGGGGCCCGCAAGGGCAACCGGCGAACGGGUGCGUAACACGUGAGCAACCUGCCUUAGUGUGGGGAAUAGCCGGCCCAACGGCCGGGUAAUACCGCAUACGAUCUGUGGGGGGAGUCCCCUGCAGAGGAAACCUCCGGGGCACUAAGAGGGGCUCGCGGCCUAUCAGCUAGUUGGCGAGGUAACGGCUCACCAAGGCGACGACGGGUAGCUGGUCUGAGAGGAUGGCCAGCCACAUUGGGACUGAGAGACGGCCCAGACUCCUACGGGAGGCAGCAGUGGGGAAUCUUGCGCAAUGGUCGAAAGACUGACGCAGCGACGCCGCGUGUGGGAGGAAGCCUUUCGGGGUGUAAACCACUGUUGCCCGGGACGAACAUCCCUUUUCGAGGGGACUGACGGUACCGGGUGAGGAAGCACCGGCUAACUCCGUGCCAGCAGCCGCCGUAAAA
Molecule: ribosomal RNA, 485 nt
Filed under: uncultured bacterium
Lineage: Bacteria
Description: bacterial SSU rRNA
Rfam family: Bacterial small subunit ribosomal RNA
Source: RNAcentral